GAUAAGGGAGAUCACACAAAAUUUUGGUGAUGAAGCUUUGAUUUGGGAGGGUUCAUUUGGUAGAGUGUAUUUUGGUGUCCUAAAGAAUGAGAGAAGCACAGCUGUAAAAAAAUUAGAUUCAAGCAAGCAGCCAGACCAAGAGUUUUUGCCACAGGUUUCCAUGGUGUCACGGCUGAAGCAUGAGAAUGUCGUGGAGUUGGUUGGUUACAGUGUUGAAGGAAAUCUCCGUCUGUUAGCAUAUGAGUUUGCUACAAUGGGGUCUCUCCAUGACAUUCUUCAUGGACGAAAAGGAAUUAAAGGAGCACAACCAGGACCAGUGUUGUCAUGGCUCCAAAGAGUUAAAAUUGCUGUCGGAGCAGCAAAAGGAUUGGAAUACCUGCAUGAGAAAGCCCAGCCUCAUAUCAUUCAUCGUGAUAUAAAGUCAAGAAAGUGAAAGUGAGGAUGAUGGUCUUGACAUGGGUGAUGAUGAUGAUGUUGAGGAACCUGAAAAUGAACCAGAGGCUGUUAGGAAAGAACCAACCAUUGAGAAACCUACUCCUGUUUCAGCACCACCCAAAGAUGCUGAAAGGCAACUGUCAAAGAAGGAGCUUAAGAAAAAGGAAAUGGCAGAGUUGGAUGCACUUCUACAUGAAAUGGGCAUUGCAAAUAAAGAUAGUAAUACUGCACAAAAUGAGACAGCUGACAAGAAGCAAUUGGAGUAAAGUAGUGAAGGGGAGA
Zingiber officinale is the source of this 717-nucleotide RNA transcript. It is a transcript of the gene named pto-interacting protein 1-like, with no coding region annotated. The transcript is spliced from 5 exons. NCBI's taxonomy places the organism in Eukaryota, Viridiplantae, Streptophyta, Magnoliopsida, Zingiberales, Zingiberaceae. The record is from RefSeq and is a predicted model, not a curated record.